This is a long non-coding RNA of Girardinichthys multiradiatus, 763 nucleotides long. RefSeq lists it as uncharacterized. The transcript has 3 exons. NCBI's taxonomy places the organism in Eukaryota, Metazoa, Chordata, Actinopteri, Cyprinodontiformes, Goodeidae. The record is from RefSeq and is a predicted model, not a curated record.
CUCAGGCAGAAAAGGGGAAAGAACGCAGAAAGAAAAGAGCAUGGACAGGAAGCAAAACCAAGAAGAAAAGAGAUUUUUUCUAAUUCCUUACUCGGUACUCAUCCAACGAGUUUUCACGGUGUGUUUUGAAUCUAUACCAAGAUGGAUUUAAUGAAUUCAUCAGUUAAGAAAACCACUUGCGUCUGUCUGUACCUGGAGGAAUUACAGUAGAUUUGUUAAAACAACUAAAAAGGGAAUUACGAGUCACACUAAGAAAACCAACAUCUAAACUAAACUGCUUACAUCUGUCUUUAAGACCAACGACACACCAACACACGCUGUGGGUGAGGUUUCACUUUGUGCUAACAAUUUGAAGAAGAAGGAGGAAGAGGAGGAGAUCAUUUCUCCUGCAGCAGAGCCGGGAUGUUGAUGUUCCAGCCGAUGGCCUGCCUGUCGAAGCCGCAGGAGAACAGGUUGCAGGUGGUGUUGUCCUCACACCAGGCGGAGCAGCAAACCAUCCGACGAUGACCCUGAACAACAACAUCCAGCCAUCAGCUUUGAUCUAACAACAAACUUCAGAGUUAAAAACUGAGUCUUUCAAGAUUCUUUCAGUUCUUGAAUUGUUUUUCUCAAGGUGGCAGCAGAUGCUGUGCAGCUGGAAGGAUUUUUGCUGAUACUGUUUUACUUUUGGACAUUUGUUAUGAUGCGUCACCAUGGCAACGAGGUUGUUUCUUACAGCCAGCACCAGCUGGUUAAUAUCUCAGAAGCUCAAAUAAUACUUCAA